GAUGAACGCUGGCGGCGUGCCUAAUACAUGCAAGUCGAGCGAACAGGCGAGGAGCUUGCUCCUCUGACGUUAGCGGCGGACGGGUGAGUAACACGUGGAUAACCUACCUUUAAGACGGGGAUAACUUCGGGAAACGGGAGCUAAUACCGGAUAAUAUAUUGAACCGCAUGGUUCAUUAGUGAAAGAGGGUUUUGCUGCACUUCAAGGAGGAACCGGGGCCGCUUAAGUAGUUGGGUAAGGUAACGCCUUGCCAAGGCAACGAUCCGUAGCCGACCUGAGAGGGUGAUCGGCCACACUGGAACUGAGACACGGUCCAGACUCCUACGGGAGGCAGCAGUAGGGAAUCUUCCGCAAUGGGCGAAAGCCUGACGGAGCAACGCCGCGUGAGUGAUGAAGGUCUUCGGAUCGUAAAACUCUGUUAUUAGGGAAGAACAAAUGUGUAAGUAACUAUGCACGUCUUGACGGUACCUAAUCAGAAAGCCACGGCUAACUACGUG
RNAcentral lists this ribosomal RNA (497 nucleotides) under uncultured bacterium. RNAcentral describes it as "partial 16S ribosomal RNA". It matches the Rfam family "Bacterial small subunit ribosomal RNA", at positions 28 to 507 of the family's 1533-position model. The record is from RNAcentral.